AUGUGGUUUAAUUCGAUGAUACGCGAGGAACCUUACCUGGGCUCGAACGUAAGAUGACUGUAGGUGAAAGCUUACAUCUCUUCGGAGCAUUUUACGAGGUGCUGCAUGGUUGUCGUCAGCUCGUGCCGUGAGGUGUCGGGUUAAGUCCCAUAACGAGCGCAACCCCUACCUUUAGUUGCCAUCAGGUUAAGCUGGGGACUCUAAAGGAACUGCCUACGCAAGUAGUGAGGAAGGCGGGGAUGACGUCAAAUCAGCACGGCCCUUACGUCCAGGGCUACACACGUGCUACAAUGGCCGAUACAGAGGGCAGCUACCUGGUGACAGGAUGCAAAUCUCCAAAGUCGGUCUCAGUUCGGAUCGGAGUCUGCAACCCGACUCCGUGAAGUUGGAUUCGCUAGUAAUCGCGCAUCAGCCAUGGCGCGGUGAAUACGUUCCCGGGCCUU
This 443-nucleotide ribosomal RNA is filed under the name uncultured Sphingobacteriales bacterium. Its description in RNAcentral is "bacterial SSU rRNA". It matches the Rfam family "Bacterial small subunit ribosomal RNA", at positions 939 to 1382 of the family's 1533-position model. The record is from RNAcentral. Lineage: Bacteria; Pseudomonadati; Bacteroidota; Sphingobacteriia; Sphingobacteriales.